AUUAGGAAGAGGAAGUGUUACAUGCUGGUGGCGGGAGGCUUCAUCCUCACCCUCCUCAUCAUCAUCAUCGCUGUGUCAGCAAGAAAAUGAUACCAACCCCAAAGGAUGAAGAACAGAAUCGCUAUUUGGGGUAGCUGCUGUCAUAGUGCUGUGACCUCGCUGCUUCUGCCCCACCUGACCACCUGACCCCUGACCUGUACCAGCUGUCUCAGAACAGGAGGGGCCUGCCCUACAUCAACACCUCUACUUCGUCAUGGCUGUCCCUCCUUGGUUAUGUAGUUAGAUAUUUGGUGUGCGCAGGUAUAUGAGUGUGUGUGUGUGUGGGG
Molecule: non-coding RNA, 326 nt
Organism: Salvelinus sp. IW2-2015
Lineage: Eukaryota; Metazoa; Chordata; Actinopteri; Salmoniformes; Salmonidae
Source: RefSeq, a predicted model, not a curated record